RNAcentral lists this long non-coding RNA (322 nucleotides) under Salmo salar (Atlantic salmon). RNAcentral's name for it is "lncRNA (ENSSSAG00000120286.1)". The record is from RNAcentral. Lineage: Eukaryota; Metazoa; Chordata; Actinopteri; Salmoniformes; Salmonidae.
GCCGGGGAAAAGUUGCGCGUGGUAGUGCAGAGGAACGUCGGCGGGUGAAUUCAGAUAGAGCCCUUGGAAAGAUGAUUCCCAAAAGUAUUAUUUUCGGAUAUAAAGACUACGCUGUAUCAACAAAAAACGGAUUGCAACUUGCAAAACAUGCGGGAAGAAAAUUACAGACGGAUGCGCAACAACUUCCAACUUUGUUCGAUAUUUGAAGCUGCACAAAGAACAGACCUGAGCCAGAGGACCAUGCCUCAGGACUACCUGGCCUGAUGACUCCUUGCUGUCCCCAGUCCACCUGGUCGUGCUGCCGCUCUAGUUUCAACUGUUC